GACGAACGCUGGCGGCGUGCCUAAUACAUGCAAGUUGAGCGCUGAAGGUUGGUACUUGUACCGACUGGAUGAGCAGCGAACGGGUGAGUAACGCGUGGGUAAUCUGCCUUUGAGCGGGGGACAACAUCGGGAAACGAAUGCUAAUACCGCAUAAAAACUUUAAACACAAGUUUCAAGUUUGAAAGAUGCAAUUGCAUCACUCAAAGAUGAUCCCCCGUUGUAUUAGCUAGUUGGUGAGGUAAAGGCCCACCAAGGCAAUGAUACAUAGCCGCCCGGAGGGGUUGUCCGGCCAAAUGGGACCUGGGACCCGCCCCAGCCCCUUACGGGAGCAGCCAGUGGGGAUCUUCGGCAAAUGACGGAAGUCUUGACGAGGAACGCCGCCGGGGGGGAGGAAGGUCUUGGGUCGUUAAACUCUUUUUGUAGGGAAGAACGUUGGGGGGAGUGGAAAGCUCAUCAAGUGACGGUACCUACCCAGAAAGGGACGGCUAACUACGUG
This 496-nucleotide ribosomal RNA is filed under the name uncultured bacterium. RNAcentral's name for it is "partial 16S ribosomal RNA". It matches the Rfam family "Bacterial small subunit ribosomal RNA", at positions 28 to 507 of the family's 1533-position model. The record is from RNAcentral.